UAUCAUUCCUCGAGUCACCCUGAACUUCUCCGUCUGGACUAUCUCUGAAUAUCAAUGGAUGAGAACUGGAAGAUAGUGGUGGGUCUGUAGUCUGCUGCAAUUGGACAUCAUUUUGGGAAAGGCAAGCUGAAGUUGCUGAAGAUGAACUAAACAAAUAAUCCAGUGGGUCUGUAGUCUGCUGCAAUUGGACAUCAUUUUGGGAAAGGCAAGCUGAAGUUGCUGAAGAUGAACUAUCCAAAUAAUCCAAUGUGUGUCCUGCAGUGUUAAGAGUUUGAGGUGCCAAAAACCCAUGGUUCUGGUUCUUGGAGACGUUUAUU
This 317-nucleotide long non-coding RNA is filed under the name Nicotiana benthamiana. RNAcentral describes it as "long non-coding RNA (NBEN_LNC029423)". The record is from RNAcentral. Lineage: Eukaryota; Viridiplantae; Streptophyta; Magnoliopsida; Solanales; Solanaceae.